This 477-nucleotide long non-coding RNA is filed under the name Ananas comosus (pineapple). RNAcentral describes it as "long non-coding RNA (ACOM_LNC023320)". The record is from RNAcentral. Lineage: Eukaryota; Viridiplantae; Streptophyta; Magnoliopsida; Poales; Bromeliaceae.
AAAUUUGGCAGUCAUGAUCAGUUUUACCUAACUUAAUGAAAGAAAUUUUAAUCUUUCAGUUUCGACUCCGUUUGGUCACCGAAAGCUAUUUCGAACAGUAAUCUUAAGCAGAUAGCAAUCAGAUUUUAUUCUCCACCCUCUGGGUGUCAGAAUGGUAUGAAACUUUAAAUCUAGCCUCAUAAAAAUAAUCCUAACAUAUUCAAAAAUUUUCGAAAUUUUCUGACACUGUGCAUUUUCUGCUAAAAUAUCAGCCCCGUUUCUCACAGAAAAUUCUCAAUCUUCUAUUUUCACUCCGAUUUUCGCACGAGUCAAUCCUGACAUAUAAUUUACUUGUCUAAAUCCAAUAAAAAUAGUAUUUCACACUAUUUUUAUUUGUAUUCACUUUUACUAAAAAAAAAUCCGGUAUGCUACAUUCUCCACCUCUUAAAAAGAGUUUCGUCCUUGAAACUUCAAUCACACCUCAACUCGACCUAUCGA